GUGCCUUAAACUAAUGAGUAAGGAAAAUUACGGGCCUUGGUGACGCUUGGCUCAGCCUACGAAAAGCGGGUGCGCGUUUGCCGUGCUCGGUAGGUUCUAUUUUUGUAGAGGCACAGGUCGUCCCCAGGUUUGUCCUGCCUACUUUGCAGGAUACCAGGGAGUGAUGCGAUUUGCCUC
This 177-nucleotide small nuclear RNA is filed under the name Anopheles farauti. Its description in RNAcentral is "U12 minor spliceosomal RNA". It matches the Rfam family "U12 minor spliceosomal RNA". Rfam says of the family: Although the U12 sequence is very divergent from that of U2, the two are functionally analogous. Lineage: Eukaryota; Metazoa; Arthropoda; Insecta; Diptera; Culicidae. The record is from RNAcentral.